This 1427-nucleotide ribosomal RNA is filed under the name uncultured bacterium. RNAcentral describes it as "bacterial SSU rRNA". It matches the Rfam family "Bacterial small subunit ribosomal RNA". The record is from RNAcentral.
CCUGGCUCAGAACGUACGCUGGCGGCACGCCUAACACAUGCAAGUCGAACGAAGUAGCAAUACUUAGUGGCAGACGGGUGAGUAACAUGUAGGUAUCUGCCCUUUGGCCUGGAAUAACACGAGGAAACUUGUGCUAAUACCGGAUAAGUCUUUACGGAGAAAGCUUUAUGCACCAUUGGAUGAGCCUGCACUUGAUUAGUUUGUUGGUGGGGUAAUGGCCUACCAAGACUGUGAUCAAUAGCUGAUUUGAGAGGAUGAUCAGCCACAUUGGGACUGAGACACGGCCCAAACUCCUACGGGAGGCAGCAGUGGGGAAUCUUGCACAAUGGAGGAAACUCUGAUGCAGCGAUGCCGCGUGAGUGAAGAAGGCCCUUGGGUUGUAAAGCUCUUUCGUCGGGGAAGAAAAUGACUGUACCCGAAUAAGAAGGUCCGGCUAACUUCGUGCCAGCAGCCGCGGUAAUACGAAGGGACCUAGCGUAGUUCGGAAUUACUGGGCUUAAAGAGUUCGUAGGUGGUUGAAAAAGUUAGUGGUGAAAUCCCAGAGCUUAACUCUGGAACUGCCAUUAAAACUUUUCAGCUAGAGUAUGAUAGAGGAAAGCAGAAUUUCUAGUGUAGAGGUGAAAUUCGUAGAUAUUAGAAAGAAUACCAAUUGCGAAGGCAGCUUUCUGGAUCAUUACUGACACUGAGGAACGAAAGCAUGGGUAGCGAAGAGGAUUAGAUACCCUCGUAGUCCAUGCCGUAAACGAUGUGUGUUAGACGUUGGAAAUUUAUUUUCAGUGUCGCAGGGAAACCGAUAAACACACCGCCUGGGGAGUACGACCGCAAGGUUAAAACUCAAAUGAAUUGACGGGGACCCGCACAAGUAGUGGAGCAUGUGGUUUAAUUCGAAGAUACGCGCAGAACCUUACCAACACUUGACAUGUUCGUCGCGACUCUAAGAGAUUAGAGUUUUCGGUUCGGCCGGACGAAACACAGGUGCUGCAUGGCUGUCGUCAGCUCGUGUCGUGAGAUGUUGGGUUAAGUCCCGCAACGAGCGCAACCCUCACUUUUAGUUGCCAUCAUUAAGUUGGGCACUCUGAAAGAACUGCCAGUGAUAAGCUGGAGGAAGGUGGGGAUGACGUCAAGUCCUCAUGGCCCUUACGUGUUGGGCUACACACGUGCUACAAUGGUAUCUACAACAGGAAGCAAGACUGCGAAGUUAAGCAAAUCCCUAAAAGAUACCUCAGUUCGGAUUGCACUCUGCAACUCGAGUGCAUGAAGCUGGAAUUACUAGUAAUCGUGGAUCAGCGUGCCACGGUGAAUGCGUUCCCGGGUCUUGUACACACCGCCCGUCACACCAUGGGAGUUGGUUCUACCUUAAGGCAAGGUUUCAAACCCUUGACCACGGUAUAGUCAGCGACUGGGGUGAAGUCGUAACAAGGUAGCCG